Homo sapiens (human) is the source of this 6868-nucleotide long non-coding RNA. RefSeq annotates it as long independently transcribed non-coding RNA 2334. Lineage: Eukaryota; Metazoa; Chordata; Mammalia; Primates; Hominidae. The record is from RefSeq and is a predicted model, not a curated record. The transcript has 4 exons.
AUUGCUCUCAACUCCUCACAGGAGGGAGCACACAAGCAAACAAGACGGGAACUGGAGUACAGGGGCGCUGGAACCAGCCAGCGAACUCCCUGCAGGCCCCGCGGCACUUUCGGGGGCGGGGGAUGGUGCCUGCGAUCCCCAAAACCCCAAAGGGCGUUUUUUACAGUGCUCUUUUAGCUCUGCUGACCGCGGAUGGCUUAAGUGUUAACAGCUCAGUGGGCCCUUUGCCUUUUCUCAUGAGUCGGCUGCCCUGUGCCAGCAAGGGCAAAGGGCCAGUGUAACAGCCUUUUGUAUCUGCACUCGUGGCUCCUGAGCUCCUGUUCGGCACACAGGAAAAAUGAGGUCGCACCAACAAACUGAAGGAUGGUAAAUGUUGAGGAUUUUAUUGCCAAUGAAAGCGGCUGUCACUGGGAGCUGAAAAGGUAAUGGAAAGCUGAAAAGCGGAUAAGGUGGGUAGGUACCUGAAGUCUGGCCAUCUACGGCAGCUGGAUUCUUCUCCAAAGUUAUACUGUCAAGCUGUCCCUCUGAAGCCAAGCCACUUCUCUUUGACAUCCAGCCGUAGUCUCUGCUCCUCUCCAACUGAGUAUGAGGGAGAUGUUUCCUAUUAUCCUUGAUAAUGUGCCAUGAACAUAUGAAAAAACAUAGAAACAUGAAGAAAACAAGAAGACAAAAAUCACUAACAUCUGGUUGGCUGUAUAGAAACAAAGCUGAUUCUGCUUGCAAAUGGAUCUUACAGACGUUGUCACAGAGACAAGAAAAGCAUAUAAAAAAAUAAAUAAAGAUGAGCUCCUUUCAAGGUGACUGACUAGAAGCAGCUGGUGUGUGCUGCUCUCACAAAGAGAAGAAAGAGUGGUGAGUGGACCAUCCAGGUGGACACAUUGGGAUUCAUCAAGGAAACAAUACACAGAAAACAGAAGAAUGAGACAGGACAAUCAUUCACCCAGAAGUGGCAUAGAGCCGGGAGAUGGCCCUCACCAUGGUUAGUAAGUGAGAGUCCCCAGGGAGUCACAUUUCUGCCACAGACCUUUGCAACCCUGGGCCCAGGCGAUCCCCCAUGACACCCGUGCCCCACCAGGGCCUCUGGACUGACAUAGACAGCUACAUGGAGUGUGGGCAGAACUGCCACUCAGGCACUCAUGAAAUCCUUGGAGCUUUUCAUCCCCAGGCACCCUGGUACCAAUGGCUGCAGCUGCGGCAAUGGGGGAGGACAGGCUCUCUUGCAUGUCCUCAGAAUAGGAACACAAUCCAUGGGGCUAAGCAGUGGGUGGACUGUGGGGCUCUUCUACACAGCCCGUUGCCAGACUGGCCUGGGAUCCUAGCAUGGUCACAAAAGUCCCACCUGGGCUCUUGAGGAACAGAUCUGUACUUCCCUGGCAUGGAACUCCUGGAGGGGAUGGGCAGGCUGCUGUUUUUGCUGCUCCACAGCCCUCACUCCUGUUGCCCUCAGUCUUGGGAGUGAGCACAGUGAUUGGGGACUAACAUAGACCCCCAGCACAGUGUACAGACUUGCAGAAAAGCAGCCAGACUCUUUUCCACAUGGGUCCUCACCCCUGCUACUCUUCACUGGGCAGCACCUCUUGACCUUGGCCCCCAGCACAACCAACCCGCCCCCACAUGAACGCUUUGUCAGUGAUGGCUCUGUGUUUCUCUGAGGAGAAAAAUCCAAAAGACAAUCCAUAAGCCUUCUGCUAUUGCAGCUGCAGUGGUAUGGCCCUUACUACCUUCAGGCUGGGGAAAGAACGAAGGACUUGGUCCUUACACUGGCCCCUCCAGCACACCAUCGCCACCAUAUGGAGAAGAGCCCAGUCUCUCUUCCCCGUAAGCCCCCACUCACCACUGUUCACCAGGCAAGGCCCCUAGUUGGGGACAGCAGAGCAGCUGUCCUACCCCCGGAUGAGAAUUCCCACUGCUAUUGGCUCUAUAUUUUCCUGAGGUGGGCCUCCCAGAAGCAAUUGACAUCCCCUCUGUCACUGUCAUGGCAGCAGUUCUGCCCUUACUGCACUCAGACUGGGGAAAGAACAAACAGCCUGAGGUCUUCACUCACACUCCUAGCACAACACAGUCAUGAUAUGGAGAGGAGCCCAGUUGUUCCUCCUGGUGAGCCCUUGACCUCCUACUUUUCAUCAAGUGAAGCCUCCAGCUUGGGCUAGCAGCGUAGCCACCCCACCCACUGGCUGAACAUUCUCAGUAGCAAUGGCUUGCGUUUCUCUGAAGUAGGGCUCCCAGGGACAACGGAAAGCACCUCUCCCACUGCCACUGCAGCGGUACUGCCUUGCUGCCCUUGGACUGGGGAAGGGGCAGAGACCUUGAGUGCUUAACCCACAUGUCCAGGAAGUGACAGCUGCCCUAAGGAGAGGAGGCCAGUCUGUCUCCUCUGUGAGACCCCUGCCACCCUUGCGCAUCACCAGGCAGGGCCUCCAGGCAUGGGUUCACAAUGUAGCUGCCCCAAUCCCAAGCCCAUCUCUCCAAUUAGUAGUGGCUCUGCAUUUCUCUAGGGUGGAGCCCCAAGAGACAAGUGAAAGGCCCUCUGCCACAGCAACUGCCAAGGUCCCUUCCCCUGUUGCCUUCAAGCUGGGGAGGGAAAAUAAAGCCUUAGCUCGCCCCUAGCAGCAGUGUGCAGCCCAGGAGUGCCAAGGCCAGACCUUAAGCCAGCACUGGAGUGGGAAAGGGAGCCCACACUUUCAGAGCACUGAGAGGGAGCAUGGCUGCAAUCAUGAAGAAAUACAGAGGAGCCACGUGGUGGAGCAAGAGCCCACCUACUGGCCAUUACACUUCAGUGCCAUCUACUGGAUCAUAGCCCAAACUCCAACUCCAAAAAUGCUUGCUAAUAUACCCCCCUCUGUGAAAACAACGACAAGAUUUCAACAACAAAGACCCUGCACAAAACCUCGGCCCUCAAAAAACAUUCAAAAAAGGAGUCUGCACUCAAUUACACCACAGUUAAAGGAGCAUCAGCCCACACAGAUGAGAAAAAACUGGUGCAAGAGCUCUAACAACUAAACUACAGUGUUUUCUUUCCUCCAAAUAACUGUACUAGUUCCCAAGGAAGGGUUCUUAACCAGGCAGAAAGGGUGGAAAUGACAGAGAGAGAAUUCAAAAUAUGGAUAGGAAUAAAGGUCAUCAAGAUUCAGGAGAAAGUCAAAACCCAAUCCAAGGAAUCUAACAAUUACAAUAAAACAAUACAGGAGUUGAAAGACAAAAUGGCCAUUAUAAGAAAGAACCAAACUGAUCUGAUAGAGCUAAAAAACACACUAAAGAAUUCCUUAAUGUAAUUGCAAGUAUUAACAGCAGAAUAGACCAAGCUGAAGAAAGAAUCUCAGAGCUCACAGGCAACAUCUCUGAACUCAGUCAGACAAAAAUAAGAAUAAAGAAGAAUGAACAAAACCUCCGAGAAAUAUGGGAUUAUGUAGAGACCAAAUCUAUGACUCACUGGCAUCCUUGAAAGAGAGGAGGAGAAAGCAAGCAACUUGGAAAACAUAUUUCAGGAUAUCAUCUAUGAAGACUUCCCCAACAUCGCUAUGGAGAACAACAUUCAAAAUCAGGAAAUGCAGAAAAUCCCUGUGAGAUUCUAUAUAAGAAGACCAUCCACGAGCCACAUGGUCGUCAGAUUCUUCAAGGCCAAAACAAAAGAAAAAAUGUUAAAGGAAGCUAGAGAGAAGAGGCAGAUCACCUACAAAGGAAACCUCAUUAGGCUAACAGCAGAUCAUUCAGCAGAAAUCCCACAAGCCAGAAGAGAUUAGGAGUGUGUAUUCAGCAUUAUUAAGGAAAAGAAAUUUCAACCAAGAAUCUCAUAUCUAGCCAAACUUAGUUUCAUUAGCGAAGGAGAAAUAAGAUCCUAUUCAGACAAGCAAAUGCUAAGGGAAUUCAGUACCACCAGACAUGCUCUAUAAGAGAUCCUGAAGCAAGUGCCAAAUAUAGAACAGAAAGACUGUUACUGACCACUGCAAAAGCACACUAAAAACGUAGACCAUUGACACUGUAAAGCAACCACACAAAUAAAGCUGCAUAAUAACCAGCUAACAGCACAAUGACAGGAUCAAAUCAGCAAAUACCAAUAUUAACCUUGAAAGUGAAGGGGCUAAGUGCCCCAAUGAAAAGUCACAGAGUGGCAAGUUGGAUAAAGAGCAAGACCCUGGCCAGGCAGGUGACUCAUGCCUGUAAUCUCAGCACUUUGGGAAGCUGACACAGGUGAAUCAAGAAUUCAAGACCAGUCUGGCCAACAUGGUGAAACCCCAUCUCUAUUAAAAUACAAAAAUUAGCCCUGGACAUGGUGGUGCUCAUCUAUAGUCCCAGGUACUAGGGAGGCUGAGGCGGGCGGAUCAGUUGAACCCAGGAGGCAGAGGUUGCAGUGAGCUGAGAUCAUGCCACUGCGCUUCAGCCUAAAAAAAAAAAAAAAAAAAAAAAAAAAAAGCAUGAUCCAACUGUAUGCUGUCUUCAACAGACAUAUCUCACAUGGAUCCAUAGGCUUAAAGUAAAGGGAUGAAGAAAAAUCUACCAAGCCAAUGGAAAACAGAAAAUAGCUGGGGUUGACAGUCGAAUUUCAGUCAAAACAGACUUUAAACCAACAAUGAUCAAGAAAGACAAAGGAAGACAUUACAGAAUAGUAAAGGGUUCAAUACAACAGAAAGAUGUUACUAUUGUAAAUAUAUAUGCAUCCAACACAGGAGAAUCCAGAUUCAUAAAGCAAGUUCUUAGAGACCUAUGAAGAGAUGUAGAUAACUGGACAAUAAUAGUAGUAGACUUCAACACCCCACAGACAGUAUAUUACACAGAUCACUGAGGCAGAAAACUCACAAAAAUAUCCAGGAUUCAAACUCAACAUUGACCAAAUGGACUCAAUACACAUCUGUAGAACUCUCCACCAAACAACACCAGAAUAUAUAUUCUACUCAUCUGCACAGAGCACACACUGCAAAAGAGAAAACACAAUUAGCCAUAAAAUAAUCCUCAGGAAAUCAAAAACAAACAAACAAAAACAAAAUCAUACAAAUCACACUCUCAAACCACAGCACAAUAAAAAUAGAAAUUAUUACUUAAAAAACCCUCAAAACCAUAAAAUUACAUGGAAAUUUUUAAAAGCCCUGCUUUUGAAUGACCUUUGUAUAAACAAUAAAGUCAAAGCAGAAAUCAAGAAAUUUUUUGAAGUUAAGAAGAAUAAAGAUACAACAUACCAGAAUCUCUGAGACACAGUAAAAACAGCAUUAAGAGGGGUGUUUAUACUGCUAAAUGCCACAUCAAAAAGUUAGAAAGACCUCCAAUUAAUAAUCUCACAGCACACUUAGAAGAACUAGAGAAAUCAGAGCAAGCAACCUCAAAGCUAGCAGAAGACAAGGAUUAACAAAAAUCAAAGCUGAAUGGAAGGAUAUUGAGAAGCAGAAAACUGUACAAAAGUUCAACAAAUAUAAGAAUUGAUCCUUUGAAGGAAUAGAUUAGAUAGAUAGACCCCUAGUCAGAAUAAUAAAGAAAAAAGGGGGAAGAUCCAAAUAAACAAAAUCAGAAAUGACAAAGGUGAACACUACCACUAACCCUACAAAAAUACAAAAAGCCCCUAGAAACUACUGUGAACACCUAAAUGCACACGACAUAGAAAACCUAGAAGAAACUGAUAAAUUCCUGAAAACAUACAACCUCCCAAUAUUGCACCAAGAAGAAAUUAAAACCCUGAACAGACCAAUAAUGAGUUCUGAAAUUUAAUCAGUAAUAAAAAGCCUACCAACCAGAAAAAUCCCAGGACCAGAUGGAUUCACAGAUGAAUUCUACCAGACAUAUUAAGAAGACCUGGUAUAAUCCCUACUGUGAAUAUUCCAAAACAUUUAGGAGGAAGAAUUCCUCUCUAAUUCAUUCUAUGAGCCCAGCAUCCUUCUGAUACCAAAACUUGGCAGACAAACAACAAUAAAGAAAACUACAAGCCAAUAUUCCUGAUGAACAAAGAUGUAAAAAUCCUCAACAAAAUAUUAGCAAACUGAAUUCAGCAGCACAUUGAAAAGCUAAAUGACCACAAUCUCUUAAGCUUUAUUCUUGGGAGGCAAGAAUUGGUUCCAUAGAGGCAAAUCAAUCAAUGUAAUUCAUUAUAUAAACAAAACUAGAAACAAAAAUCACAUGAUCAUCUCAAUAGAUGCAGAAAGGGCUUUUGAUAAAAUUCAAUGUCCCUUCAUGUUAAAAACUCUCAACAAAGUAAGCAUCAAAGGCACAUACUCAAAUAAUAAGAGCCAUUUAUGAAAAAUUCACAGCCAACAUCAUCCAGAAUGGGCAAAAGCUGGAAGCAUUCCGCUUGAAAACUAAAACAAGACAAGAAUGCCCUCUCUUAUUAUUUUUAUUAAACAUACUACUGGAAGUCCUAAGCAGAAUAAUUGGCCAAAAGAAAAGAAAAAAAAGCAUCCAAAUGGGAUAAUAGAAAGUCAAAUAAUCCCCUUUUGCAGACGAUAUGAUUCUAUACCUAGAAAACCAAAUAGUCCCUACCCAAAACCUCCUUGAUUUGAUAAACAAUUUCAGCAAUGUUUCAGAAUUCAAAAUUAGUGUUCAAAAAGUAGCAUUCCUAUAUAGCAACAAUAUCCAAGCUGAGAGCCAAAUCAAGAACACAAUCGCAUUCACAAUGGCCAUAAAAACAAUAAAAUACCCAGGAAUAUAGCUACGCAGGGAGGUGAAACGUGUUUACAAUGAGAAUUACAAAACACUGCUCAAAUAAAUCAGAGAUGAUGCAAACAAAUGGAAAAUCCCCCCAUGCUUAUGGAUAAGAAGCAUCAAUAUUGUUAAAAUGGCCAUAAUGUCCAGAGCAAUUUACAGACUCAAUGCUUUUCCUAUCAAACUACUAAUGACAUUUUUCACAGAACUAGAAAAAAAAAACUAUUUUAAAAUUCAUGUAGAACCA